Molecule: ribosomal RNA, 465 nt
Filed under: uncultured bacterium
Lineage: Bacteria
Description: partial 16S ribosomal RNA
Rfam family: Bacterial small subunit ribosomal RNA
Source: RNAcentral
CCUACGGGGGGCAGCAGUGGGGAAUAUUGCGCAAUGGGCGAAAGCCUGACGCAGCGACGCCGCGUGAGGGAUGAAGGUCUUCGGAUCGUAAACCUCUGUCAGCAGGGAAGUACGGUCACUGUGCUAAUCAGCAGUGAAUUGACGGUACCUGCAAAGGAAGCACCGGCUAACUCCGUGCCAGCAGCCGCGGUAAUACGGCGGGUGCGAGCGUUAAUCGGAAUUACUGGGCGUAAAGCGCUCGUAGGCGGUAUGUCAAGUCAAGGGUGAAAUGCCCGCGCUCAACGUGGGAACUGCCUUUGAAACUGGCAAACUGGAGUGUGGGAGAGGAGAGUGGAAUUCCAGGUGUAGGAGUGAAAUCCGUAGAUAUCUGGAGGAACAUCAGUGGCGAAGGCGACUAUCUGGCACAUAACUGACGCUGAGGAGCGAAAGCGUGGGUAGCAAACAGGAUUAGAUACCCCAGUAGUC